CUUCAUGAACCAGCUGAGGGCAUAUGAAGUGCACAUGACAGUCUAUAGCCCCUGCAGUUACAAGCAAUCCUUCCCCAGCAAUAACCUCAGUGUUAACCUGAGAGUUGAGAAGGUCUAAAUAUCAACCAUUAAUACCGCUGCUAAUUAUACCUUGGGUACUGCUUUAAUACAAGAGAACUUACACCAAUGAUCAUAUUAGGGAAAACACCAUCCAUGGUAUCUGGAUUGCCUGCUUUCCCAAGUGCAACAAUAAGGCCAUUUUUAAUACCAAUAUCUGCCUUAAAAAUACCAGUGUAAUCUAUGAUUACAGCAUUUGUUAUAGCAAUAUCUAAAGAUUCAGCUGGUGGAUGCCCACAUGAUUGACCCAUGCCAUCUCUUAUA
This is a small RNA of Theobroma cacao (cacao), 381 nucleotides long. It matches the Rfam family "5' ureB small RNA". NCBI's taxonomy places the organism in Eukaryota, Viridiplantae, Streptophyta, Magnoliopsida, Malvales, Malvaceae. The record is from Rfam.